CUUAUAUGAAGAAAAAAGUCUGUCAAAAUAGGGAUUUGGAAAGGGGAGGGGGAAGCAGGAAGUCUUCCUGUUGGCAUUUAUUAGAAGGGAAAUGAAUGUUUUAUGUUCAGGGGCCCUGCUGGAUGUGCAGUGCUUGGGGACAGUGGUGUGGUGAAAGCCUCCUCACUUCUUGAGUGCAGGGUGCGAAUGUGAUCUGGAAUAAACAAGAAAGGGCUAAAUAUAGAAGCCUCUGGCUCCCAUCCUGCUAUGGCGGCUCUGCCCUCACUGCAGUCCUGGAGGCAGCAAGUUCUGCCUAUUGUUCCGGUCACAUUCUUGUGUCCCACGAUGGGGCCUCUGUGAUGGAAUAAAAUGAAGAGAAACAGAUGGGAAAACAAUAACCCAAGGAACAGGCCCUGAGCUUUGCUGGAAGCUUCCAAAAACCCAUAAAUCCUCAAAUGCAUUUGUGCUGGAUUAGGGAACUGAAGCAAAGCAAGGGCCAAGUACUUGCCUUCCUUUAUCCCAUGUGCUCUUGUUGCACAGAGGCUGCUCUCUAUAGGGUCUCUACCUUGCAACGAAUGCUUGUAGUGGCAACUCUGUUUCCUUAAUCUUUUAAUUCUGGCAACUUCUCCCCUUGUCCUUCCUCUAUAUUUCCUGACCUUUUUGUCUUGCAGGCCCCUGGAUAAAGUGACUGCACAAGGAGCCAGCCCACCUUUCCAUCCUCCUCAUGGACAACAGAGCUGGCUGCAAGCACAACAUGGUGGAACCCUUGCAAGGCAGUGGUGCAGUCUUUCCGAGUUUCUGGAUUCCCUGCAUCUGUGAGGAGCAGAUCUGCUGCCAACUUCAUCGUUGCUGCCAACUUCAUCCCUCUUCCUUCACAGAAGAAAGACUUCUAAGCUUGCCGAUAGUCGCCCAGUCAUGUGGGACAGUGACAGGGACAUAACUGCAGAGAAGUGCAUAUGCUUGUCUCCUGGGAGCCACCACAGCUUUGCAGAAGUGCUCUCAAUAGCUACCAGUAAGUAAGUCUUUAGAGUGUGAAUUUCUUGAGUCAGACACUGUACAACCCAUGCCUUGUUGGGCCUUAAUGAGUGGGAAAUGGACAGUCUGUAAAC
RNAcentral lists this long non-coding RNA (1088 nucleotides) under Calidris pygmaea (Spoon-billed sandpiper). Its description in RNAcentral is "lncRNA (ENSCPGG00000013675.1)". Lineage: Eukaryota; Metazoa; Chordata; Aves; Charadriiformes; Scolopacidae. The record is from RNAcentral.